CUACGGGGGGCUGCAGUGAGGAAUCUUGCGCAAUGGGGGAAACCCUGACGCAGCAACGCCGCGUGAGUGAAGAAGGCCUUCGGGUCGUAAAGCUCUGUCAAGAGGGAAGAAACAGUUAUGCAUGAAUAAUGUAUAACCUUGACGGUACCUUUAGAGGAAGCACCGGCCAACUCCGUGCCAGCAGCCGCGGUAAGACGGAGGGUGCUAGCGUUGUUCGGAAUUACUGGGCGUAAAGAGCGUGUAGGCGGAUAGAUAAGUCGAGUGUGAAAGUCCCCAGCUUAACUGAGGAAGUGCAUUUGAAACUAGCUUUCUUGAGUACGGAAGAGGGAAGUGGAAUUCCCGGUGUAGGGGUGAAAUCCGUAGAUAUCGGGAGGAAUACCAGUGGCGAAGGCGACUUCCUGGACCGUUACUGACGCUGAGACGCGAAAGCGUGGGGAGCAAACAGGAUUAGAUACCCUUGUAGUC
This 465-nucleotide ribosomal RNA is filed under the name uncultured bacterium. Its description in RNAcentral is "partial 16S ribosomal RNA". It matches the Rfam family "Bacterial small subunit ribosomal RNA", at positions 339 to 795 of the family's 1533-position model. The record is from RNAcentral.